GAAAAGUUUGAUCAUAAGAGAAAGGCAAUGUCUGAAGUAGUUCCAUGUCAUGUUCCAAAAGAGUCAAUUUGCUUUUAUUGCCAAGAGAAAGGGCAUUGGAGACGAAGCUGCCCCAUUUACCUAAGAGAUCUAAGAGAUGGGAGAGUCGAAACGUAUGGCUCUAAUAUAGGUAAAAUCCAUUAACUAACUCUUUUAAGCUUCUAUUCUAGAUUCUUAAUACAUAAUGUGAUAAGAUUACAAUUGAUGUUUUGUAGGAUCGAAGAAAAGAAAGGAAGCUUAAGGGAAGAAGUGAGCAGAAUCUAACCGUGAAGGAAUGGAUUUCGAUCGCAUUUCUCGAAGAUUAGAUUCUUGAGCUACUACUUAGAGUUAGAAUUAGAUUGCUAAGAAAGAUGUAUUAGCAUAGUUUUUCAAUGAAUUGCAUUGUAAGGACAAAUUUUUUCCGCAAUAAAAUAAAUUUUGAUUUUAUAUUAUUUAUUUAUCCUUGCAAUGGCGUAUAUGAAAAAUUGAUGUUUGAAUGUUUCUAUUAUUAGCAAUAAUGGAUUUGGUUCUUAUUAUGUUAUUUAUGGAAAGUCGAGAAUUUACCAAAUAGGGAGAGUUUCUCAUCGCCCAAGUUUCAAUUGGACAGAAACUUGGAAUCAUGCAACUUGGUUGCACGAUGAAUGAGAAAUUUCAUAUUUGGAAAUUAGACUAAUUCAUUGACAAAGUGUCAAGUGAAGGACUAGGAGAUCGAGUACACAAAGUUGCGUGUUGAUCAAGUCCACCAUAAGAGUAACAAAGAUAUUCGUCAUGAUUUACUAAAGGUUUAGUAAAUAUGAUUAUACUUAUAAGAUUAAGUGUAAUUCUGAAUUGAUUGAAAAAGUUUAAAUCAAUAGCAGAACGAAUAAGAAGAAUCAAGUAGGCAGAAAGAUAAAAGUUUCUCUAUUCUAAGAAGAAGGGAGAGUACCUUUUAUUAUGUUUUAUGAUAGGUCUUAAUGAUUAAGAACCAUAUCUCAAUUGAUCCUCUAAGUGAGUCUUAGUACAAUUGUAUGUCUAAGAAGAGGAAUCAAGAAUUGAAGAAAUGGUUAAAUCAAGAAGUCAAUCAUACUUCGUUCCAAAACAAGUCUUAGAGUUAAGAUUGUGACAUUGAGUGACAAGUCUUAAGAAGGUUUAUAACAUUCAUCAAAUGUAGAAUUUGGAAAAAGGUUUUCUUAUUCUUGCACAUUUGAAAUUGGUAAGUUGUGAUGUCUUGGAUUAGACAAAGACCGACUAGGACCAAUUUUAUUAAGUGUUUUGUCUUGAUAAAAGCUACACUAACUCUUGAAUAUUUGGUUGUCAAGAAAUGUUUAUUGACAAGAGAAUCUUAUAUGUCAAGGAGUCAGUGGGAGUCUUAAUGGUCUUGAAAAGUUUAAGAACUAAUCAAGAAUAAACCUUAUCGAUCAUCACUAGCACACGAGUUGAGGUUUCCAACCUAUCAAGUUGACACUAUAUUGUUUCUGUGCCAUUCCAAUCGAGUUAAUUAUGCAUGUGAGCCCUAUGAGUUCUCAUUUGAAUGUAUAAAAGGAAAGGACCUUGAUCAAUGAAAAGUACAUUGAUAGGAAAGGGGGAGCUUCUUAACUACUUGGAAGACAUGGUGGGCAGCUGUGUUACCAUAAGGCAAGAAAUCAAGAUUAAGAGUUCGGUCCAUAUGAGUUUGAAUUUGUCGUAAACUUUGGUUUUGACAAAUUCACAUGGAUAGGAACACAUACACCAUUAAAGUCUAAGUGUCAUAAGAUUCCCUCCUUCAUGGAAAUGACUGUGAGGAAAUGCUUUCACUAAGAGAGAUUUAAUAAGAUAGUGAUUAUGAAAUUGUAUUCUCGAAUUCGAUUAUGGUUACGGUAUCCCUUUCCAUGAUUCGAAUUGUGAGAUUUUGAAAUUAGUCUGAAUUGUUGAUGUUGGAUUAGUGUCUAAGUCCAUAACUAUUUUGGUAUGUACUUGACCCGAUGGAGCAUGGUCCUUUUAGGUUUCCUUCACCAAAGCAACUUGAUAGGAUGAAUUAUGGAGAGAAAGGAUUAAUUAUGAUUUAUUAAUAUAUUAUGAGAAUAAUAUAUUAAAGGAGAAAUCAUAUAGUUUAAUUAAUAUUAGUCAAGAAUUAAUUGGUAAUUAGGUUUGUGACUAAAAGAGAUUAAUUAAACUUAAGGGACUGGAAUUGUAAUUAUAAGAUAAUUGCAAUUGGGCUAUGGGUUACCUUAUAAUAUAAGGUUGGACGAAUUCUAUGGGGAAACCCAUUAGAAAUCGUCCAAAGGAUUAUUAAUGAAGGGUCCGUGGGCUGCUUAGGGCUUAAGCAGUCAGUUUAGGGUUUCCUAGUUCAAAACCCUAAUAGCCUACAUGUAUAUAAAGGACCCUUAAGCCCCAAAAACGUGGUGGACAUGUUCCUUAGGGUUUUCACACGUUUUGGGCAGACUCCUUCUCUUCUCCUCUUCAUCCUCUUGCUCUUGGUGUUUGUGAACCAUUAGAGGAGUGACAUUUGUGACUCUAAGCUUUCUAAAUUCAUUACAAGGAGGAUUUGAGAUUGUUAUUGCUACAUAACAAUCAAGGUAAUAUCUUAAACCUUUUUUUAUGUUAAUAUGAUUUAUUGCAUGCUAGAUCUAGGGUUUAUAGCUUUGGAUAUUCAAUUGCAUGUUCAUUAGACAACCUAGAUCCAAAAGCUGUUAGGGUUUGCAUGUACACCAUAGGAAUGAUGUAUAGUCUAAAACCCAAUAGUGGUAUAAGAGCCUAGGUCAUUUUUCUAUUGAAUAGAUACAAAAAGAUCAGAAAAAAACGAAAUUUUUUUUUGUCUGCGCCGCCAACUCGGCGAGUCCUUUUAUGGACUCGGGGAGUAGCCCCGACUCGGCGAGUACAUCAGUUGGACUCGGCGAGUAGGCUGAACUCGGCGAGUCCAUCAGUGGACUCGACGAGUCCAGGGUGCUGUUGACGAGAUUUUCGAAUUUUUGAGCAGAUUUUGUUAAGGAUAAUUACCAAAACUCGUUUUUAUUGCCUAAAAUCGAUUUUUUAUGUUUGAAAUGAUUAUCCUUAUCAGAAUUAAUGGAUUUGGUUAAAUAUGGAUAAUAUAGGAUUAUUAUUAGAUAAAUAUUUGACCUUUUUAGUUUGAAAAGUUUCCAUUAGCACCCUUAGGUUUUAUAAUUUAAAUUUGAACUUAAAAGUUUUGUUUUUGGAAUUUAAAUAGUUAAACCCUACUGUUUUGAAAAGGUUUCAAAACUUGCCCUCAAGUUUUGGAAUUUAAAAGUUGAUUAAAAGUUUAAUUAGGAAUGUUAAAUUCUAAAACCCUAGUAUAGUUUUGAAAAAGUUCAAAUCACACCCUUAUGGUUUUAUUAAUUAAUUAAGGUGUAUAAUUAAAAGAGGUUUAAUAAAUCCAUAAAAGUUUAGGUUUACAAUUUAAUUGAAUUAAAAGUAUAAUUGUUAAAUUUGACCACCUAGUAUUUUAAAAGUGUAAAAUACACCCUAUACUAUAUAUAACAUUAAAAGUCUAACAUUAUAUAUAUGUAUGAGUAAAAGUCAGUCUUACCGUUAGUAGGCCUCAUUCACGAAGCUGGUCUAUAAGGGGUGUUUAAGGAAAUUGCCUAUAAAAUGGCGAUUGAAUGGGUAUCCACUCUUACCCACCGCACUCUUGACUAGUGGAGGGUCGUUAGCCGAACGGGUAGGAUAGGACGAAACCUUCCAUUAUAAGUAUAAUGAAGUAUAAAAGUAACUAAAUGUUUUCAUAAAAUUCCCAAUCUUAGUUACUUAGGCAAAAGUGAAUUGAUGCAAUUCCAUGAAAUUACACUUUGUGCCCUUGCGAAGACGUUAGUGGAGCGUGUGUGGUUAACCGGCACACUAAAUGGUUCUAAGCAAAGGUAGCAAAGGGUGACUCAAUGUUUGUCAUAGUUCGGUGGAGCGUGUGUGGUUUACCGGCACAUCGAAUAGGUGACUGUAACAUGUGAGGGCACCAUGUAAGUUUGCAUGGUUAUUCACACCCGCUUUGUGAUCCUCGGCAUCCCAGUCACAAACAAGAGGGGCAUAUCGAGAUUUAAACAUGCCAUUGAAAUGUUCAAUGAAUCUCAAAGGAUCUAGGAGUUUUCAUAGAUUUAAAACUUAAAUUUCUUUUUCGUUUUUCAUGGUGGAAAUUAGUGAAUCGUCAUUCACUUACCUUCAAAUGUUCUGCAAUUUGGGUUACGGCAUCCCUCUCCCGAGUUGUAGAAUAUUGUGUUGGGUCCUAGCCUUAGUAUCUCAUUUGGGUGAUUUACUAAGGACUCAAUCAAUCAACUAACUUGAAUUCGUUUUCUCCCGUUUUGUAGAUGUCAAAGUUCGACAACUAUGGUCUUCCCAAAUCCCGUGGAACAAGCUUUCCACAUGAAGAUGAUAUUCCACGAUUCGAUCGAGGAACAAGAGAUCAUGCUUCACUUCCUCCACCUCCUCCAAUUAUUCUCCCUAACCCACAAGUUUGAAGGCUUGAAAAGUUCAAGCUCACUCAAGCCCUUUUGGCAAGUAAAAUGAAGAAGGAAAGUCGGUUUGUGCACACAUCCUAGAGAUGAAGUCACACAUUGAUAGGUUAAGAAUGUUGGGAUCCAUUGUCUGUGAGGAGCUAGAUGUUGACUGGGUUCUUCAAUCACUUCCUAACUCGUAUAGUGAGUUCGUAAGAGAGUACUAUAUGAUGAACCACGACAUGAACUAGAUCUCACCUACAUGCUUAUUGCUGCUGAAUCAACAAUGAUUUGGCGCACUGGAAAAGCAAAGUUGAUUGGUGAAUCUGCCUUCCAUACCUCUAUGGAUAUAGGGAAUGGCAACGAAAGGCAUGUCAUGAUCUAAAAGUUUGAUCAUAAGAGACAGGCAAUGUCUGAAGUAGUUCCAUGUCAUGUUCCAAAAGAGUCAAUUUGCUUUUAUUGCCAAGAGAAAGGGCAUUGGAGACGAAGCUGCCCCAUUUACCUAAGAGAUCUAAGAGAUGGGAGAGUCAAAACGUAUGGCUCUGCUUUAGGUAAAAUUCAUUGACUAACUCUUUUAAGCUCCUAUUCUAGAUUCUUAAUACAUAAUGUGAUAAGAUUACAAUUGAUGUUUUGUAGGAUCGAAGAAAAGAGAGGAAGCUUAAGGGAAGAAGUGAGCAGAAUCUAACCGUGAAGAAAUGGAUUUCGAUCGCAUUUCUCGAAGAUUAGAUUCUUGAGCUACUACUUAGAGUUAGAAUUAGAUUGCUAAGAAAGAUGUAUUAGCAUAGUUUUUCAAUGAAUUGCAUUGUAAGGACAAAUUUUUCCGCAAUAAAAUAAAU
This 5251-nucleotide long non-coding RNA is filed under the name Lactuca sativa (garden lettuce). Its description in RNAcentral is "long non-coding RNA (LSAT_LNC007836)". Lineage: Eukaryota; Viridiplantae; Streptophyta; Magnoliopsida; Asterales; Asteraceae. The record is from RNAcentral.